Rosa chinensis is the source of this 928-nucleotide long non-coding RNA. RefSeq lists it as uncharacterized. Lineage: Eukaryota; Viridiplantae; Streptophyta; Magnoliopsida; Rosales; Rosaceae. The record is from RefSeq and is a predicted model, not a curated record. The transcript has 4 exons.
CAAACAAAACCGGAAGAAAAAUAAAGUAACCCAUGACACAAGCUCUCAUGGGGGAGCUGAAACAGCAUCAGACACCAAGAUGUGAAGGAGGGUUGGAGGUGGAUUAUGAAUCCAAUUCAGAGGACACUCCGACCUUGAAGCAAGUCCCCAGCUUCCUUCCUCUGCCGUCAACGCAUCCCAGCUUGAGAGAUCGCACAAAAUUCACGAGAGGCUCUGUGCUCCGACAUCUUCAAAGGUUGAGAGAUCUCUCUGUGCUCCGGGUCGUUCUGUGCUCCAACAUCUUCAAAGCUCGAGAGAUCGCUCUGUGCUCCAACUCUCACUCUGUGCUCCGACAUCUCGACAGAUCGCUCUGUGCUUCUACUCGGUCUGUGCUCCAACAUCUUCAAAGCUCGAUAGAUCGCUCUGUGCUCCGACAUCUUCAAAGCCGAAAGUGGUUAAUUGAUUCAGCGAAUCAACCUCAGUAACAAGUAGUCACAGAUCCAAACAAGAGCUGCGGCCCUAUUUCUAUAUUUGGUCGAUUUGUGGUAUUUUGGGUACUAAAUUUCAACAGGCAGAGACGGGCUAACAGAAGAUGAGAAGAUGAAAUGCCAAAAACUUCCAGUCAGCAAUGAUUAAAUUUGACAACAAUCUUACAGUCAGCAAUGAAAGUGAAGAUUACUCAAGUGAAGACAACAAUGAAGAGAUGGAAGACAAUGCAUACGAAGAAGAUGGUCCGGGAAGACCAGAAAUGGAGAUGUUAAGAAAUACAAUUGCACAAAGUCUAAUGAAUGAAUCUACUUAGCAUUUAGUUGCAAAGUUGUAUUGACUUUAAUACAUUUUGUGUAAUGUUUCCCGUAUACCAUGGUGGGGGCAUGUUUUAUGUAAUAUUCUCAACUCAUUUGUAUAAUAUUUAAGGGUUUAAUGUAAUCUUUUAUUUGAUCCAAGCAAU